GAUGAUGGCAAGCGGUUAAAUGGAGGAAAGUAAUUUGAGCUCCUGCCUUCAAGCGGGAGAAAGACCAAAGAAAAACCAAACGAUGAAUUUACAGAAAUGUCUGUUACUCAACCAUGGAAGGUGGUGAAGUGCAACAAAGUAGUCCUGGAGAUUUUUGACAAAGGAUGCAACAUGACAGAUGCGUUCCGAAAGUAUGGUGUGGACCGAAACACGAUUAUGCAGAGUGCAGCUAUUGCUGAACUGGCCAUUGCAGCUCUUAUUCUAUGCAGAACUAUACAGAAAUUCAAAAUAAACAGGGAGAGAAAUUAUUAAGCAUUUACUCAAAAUUGUCAAGAUGAUAUUAUGGCAGAUGAGAGCAUUGCACACAAAAUACAACACAUGAAAAAUGAGGGGAAAUUGCUUUUAAUAAAAAAAAUAUUGAUUGUUGUAAAGAAAAAAAAGGUUUUAUAUGUAUAUGUAUAUACACUUUUUAUACUUUAUUUUUAUAAUUAUGUUACUUAUUUGUUUCUUUUUUAUAUUAUUGCACAGUAUAUGUUAUGUAAUGUACAGUAAUAAAGAUUUUGAAAGUCUAAG
RNAcentral lists this long non-coding RNA (573 nucleotides) under Danio rerio (zebrafish). RNAcentral's name for it is "lncRNA si:ch73-158e15.3 (ENSDARG00000102085.2)". The record is from RNAcentral. Lineage: Eukaryota; Metazoa; Chordata; Actinopteri; Cypriniformes; Danionidae.